AACGAACGCUGGCGGCAUGCCUAACACAUGCAAGUCGAACGAGACCUUCGGGUCUAGUGGCGCACGGGUGCGUAACGCGUGGGAACCUGCCCUUAGGUUCGGAAUAACUCCCCGAAAGGAGUGCUAAUACCGGAUAAUGUCUUCGGACCAAAGAUUUAUCGCCUUUGGAUGGGCCCGCGUUGGAUUAGCUAGUUGGUAGGGUAAAAGCCUACCAAGGCGACGAUCCAUAGCUGGUCUGAGAGGAUGAUCAGCCACACUGGGACUGAGACACGGCCCAGACGCCUACGGGAGGCAGCAGUGGGGAAUAUUGGACAAUGGGCGAAAGCCUGAUCCAGCAAUGCCGCGUGAGUGAUGAAGGCCUUAGGGUUGUAAAGCUCUUUUACCCGGGAUGAUAAUGACAGUACCGGGAGAAUAAGCUCCGGCUAACUCCGU
Molecule: ribosomal RNA, 432 nt
Filed under: uncultured bacterium
Lineage: Bacteria
Description: partial 16S ribosomal RNA
Rfam family: Bacterial small subunit ribosomal RNA
Source: RNAcentral